CCUACGGGUGGCAGCAGUAGGGACUCUUCCACAAUGGACGAAAGUCUGAUGGAGCAACGCCGCGUGAGUGAAGAAGGGUUUCGGCUCGUAAAGCUCUAUCAGCAGGGAAGAAAUAAAGUCCUUCGGACUUUGGACGGUACCUGACUAAGAAGCUCAGGCUACCUACGUGCCAGCAGCCGCGGUAAUACGUAGGGGGCAAGGGUGAUCCGGAGUUACUGGGUGUAAAGGGAGCGUAGACGGCCGCGCAAGUCUGUAGUGAAAGCCAAUGGCUUAACCAUGGAACUGCGUGGGAAACUGUGCAGCUGGAGUGCAGGAGAGGUAAGCGGAAUUCCUAGUGUAGCGGUGAAAUGCGUAGAUAUUAGGAGGAACACCAGUGGCGAAGGCGGCUGACUGGACUGUAACUGACGUUGAGGCUCGAAAGCGUGGGGAGCAAACAGGAUUAGAUACCCCUGUAGUC
RNAcentral lists this ribosomal RNA (457 nucleotides) under uncultured bacterium. RNAcentral's name for it is "partial 16S ribosomal RNA". It matches the Rfam family "Bacterial small subunit ribosomal RNA", at positions 338 to 795 of the family's 1533-position model. The record is from RNAcentral.